UCUCCUACGGGAAGGCAGCAGUAGGGAAUCUUCGGCAAUGGACGAAAGUCUGACCGAGCAACGCCGCGUGAGUGAAGAAGGUUUUCGGAUCGUAAAACUCUGUUGUUAGAGAAGAACGACGAGGAGAGUGGAAAGCUCCUCGUGUGACGGUAUCUAACCAGAAAGGGACGGCUAAUCUACGUGCCAGCAGCCGCGGUAAUACGUAGGUGCCCGAGCGUUGUCCGGAUUUAUUGGGCGUAAAGCGAGCGCAGGUGGUUUAUUAAGUGCUGGUGUAAAAGGCAGUGGCUCAACUCAGUAGUAUGCAUUUGGAAACUGGUAGACUGAGUCAUGAGAGGAGAUG
This 340-nucleotide ribosomal RNA is filed under the name uncultured bacterium. Its description in RNAcentral is "bacterial SSU rRNA". It matches the Rfam family "Bacterial small subunit ribosomal RNA", at positions 335 to 660 of the family's 1533-position model. The record is from RNAcentral.